RNAcentral lists this long non-coding RNA (12419 nucleotides) under Gossypium raimondii (Peruvian cotton). Its description in RNAcentral is "long non-coding RNA (GRAI_LNC000913)". Lineage: Eukaryota; Viridiplantae; Streptophyta; Magnoliopsida; Malvales; Malvaceae. The record is from RNAcentral.
CCCACUGGCAAUGAUAACCCCAGUAACAACAGGGACUAGAGUAAUAUAAGUAAGCCAACCUUCCCUCUUCAAUGUCAUCAAGUAAGCGAAAACCGCAGUGAAAAACGGUGUCGUAGCACCGAUAGCCUGAUUGAAACUAACCGGCAAAUACCUCAAAGAAAUAUUCCCAAACAACACCGACACGCAAAAGACUAAACUCAAAGUCGUGAUCUUGAAAAACUGAACCCUAGAUCGAAUGGUCUGCAUUGGAACCAUCUUCAUCCAUGCAAUUGCGAAGUAGCUUAACAAAGAACAAGCUGUCAUGUGACACAUGGUUAAGAAGAUUGGGUAUUUGAAACCGUAAUUGCUUAGUAAAUACUUAACAAAUACUUGUCGUGAACAUUUUCGAUUGGUUUUUCAUGGUUUCUUUUUGGGUUUUGAGGAUCUGGGUGUCUUAAUUUAGAUGAAGAAAAAAUGGGUUUUUAAUAGAAAAGGAAAUUGGGAUUAUAGAAGAUGGAUCUGGGUGGAGCUUGGGAAAUUAUGGGUGUUUUUGGUGUGAAAAAUGGGUUCUUUUGAGAUGAUUUGAUGGAACUAGCUCCCAUGGAUCUGAUUCAAGUUUCUCAUUACAAUAUCAAUGAAACCCAGAAAGAAGAAAAAUUAAAAGUUAAACUAAAAAAAAAGGUACAGAAAAAGUAAAGCUUUAAUGUUAUGAAAAUAGCUAUGGAUUGGCUGCCUCUCUGCAAAAUUCUCUGAGAAAACGAAGAAGACAAAAAUUACGAACCCGAAGCGUCCUUGAAGCUUCAGUUAAAAUCAAAGGACCCCCUUGGUGAUGCGAGCUAACUCCUCCAACCACCGCUGCAAGCGAAGAAGACGAAAGACAAUCUGCCACCGCAUGACGCAACGGCUCCGGUGGCUUCUUAAGCGACGAAGAUCUAAGCCUCGACACUCCACUGCCUGCUCCUAACUGAAGCAUUGAACUCCCGGGCUCCGAGCUGGACUGAAAGUUGUAGCCAUCGGACUUAGGUUGCACUCUGAAUCCACGCACAACCGUCUGUCAAACUUAACUCCAAUUUAAAAAAAAAAAAACAAAGAGUUUUUAAGCAAUUAAAAUCUUGUUUUUCCCCCUCAAUUCAAUCGUUCCUACAUUUCAACAGAGAACAAAGAAAGAGAGAAAGAGAGAAAUUUGUGGAAGAUUCAAAAUCUUAUUUAUUCUGAGAGUAAAAAAAAUGAAAAUAGAAGAGGGAAAACUGGGAGGAGGGAAAGUGGGAAAAAAAGAGAUUUUGAAUCUUUUGUGGCGUUUUUUUUAUAGAAACGCCGCAAAACAUUAUUUCAUUUUGAACAAAACGACCCCGUUUUACUCAGUUAAAAAUAUUUUAUUUUGUCUACUUGAACAAAACGACCCCGUUUUACUCAGCUAAAAAUAUUUUAUUUUGUCUGCUAAAAAUUAUUAGUUAAGUGAUUUUAUAAAAUAUUUAUUAUUAUUAUUUUUUAUAAACUUGAUUUUUAUAAAAAAAACAAGUACUUUCAAAAUAAAUAUCGUAUAUUUUAAUAAGAAAACAAAUGAUUAAAUGGUUGUAUUUAAUUAUUAAGUUAGAAUUAUCCAAUGUAAGAUUAGUUAAUCAUAAUUUUAUAUUAUUCUUUUCCAAUCUAAUCUCUAUUUUAUUAGAGAUAUUUCUUCCUAACUAAAAUAUAACUAUAUAUAUUGCUAAAUGUUCGAUGUGAAAUGAUUUUAGUUUUUUUAUUUCAUUUUUAUUUGUUAUAAUUUAGUCCUAUCGAAAAUAGAUAGUUACCUAUCCAUAUCAAUUACUUUUUAUUUAUUUAUUUAUCAAUGUUUUUUUUAAAUCUAAUAUUUAAAUAUAUCAAAUGGUUUAUAUUAAAUAUUUUUAAAUAUAAAAGCAUUAAUUGGUUGAAUAAAAUUUCAUCAUUUAACAAAUCUCAAGUAAACCUUAAAUCCUAAACCAUUUAAUAUAUAUAAAUUCAAAAAACUAGUUAAUCUAAACCCAAAACCCUAACCCGGCCCGAAUCUCUAAACCUUAAAUCACUAACCACAAACCCCUAACCACAAACCUUUAACCCCUAACUACUAACCCCUAAACCUUAUUUAAUAUAUAAAUUAAAAAAUACUAAUUAAUCUAAACCUUAAAUCCCAACCCGAAUACCUAACCCCUAACCCCUAAACCUUAUUUAAUAUAAAUUAAAACACACUAAUUAAUCUAAACCCUAAACCCUAACCUGACAUCGAAUCAAUGAACCCUAAAUCCCUAACUCUUAAUCUCUAACCCUUAAUCCCUAACCCCUAAAUCACAACCCUUAAACCAGAACCCCUAAUCCAUAGUCCCUAAUUCCAUAAUCUAUAAACCUUAAAAUUCUAACUCCUAAACCGGCCUUAAAUCCUAAAUUAACCAUACCUCCUAAACCAUAUACCCUAAAUCAUAUAUAUUAAACCCUAAACUAUAAUGACAAUUACUUAAAUAUUUUAAAAUUAAUACUACCGUAUCUUUUACAAUUAUAUAUGAAAUUAUUUAAUAUAUAAAUUAAAAAUCAAUCAGUCAUGUACCCAAAAAAUUUUAAAAUUAUUUUAAAUAAUAGUAUUUUAAUUUUUCCAUUUUUAACAAAUAUUUUUCUAUGUUUUUUAUUUCAAUUUAUUUAUAAGUGUCAUUAUUUCAAAUUUAUCCAUUUUUAACAAAUUUUCAAUUAAAAAUAAAUUGAAUUUUAAUUAAUAUAAAUAAACAAUUAAAUAGUAAUUAGACAGAUAAAAUGUUUUUGCGGCACUUCUUCAAAAACGCCGCUAAAGCCAAGAGCAUUAGCGGCGCUUUAUCAAAAACGCCGCUAAAGCCCAGAGCAUUAGCGGCACUUUACCAAAAACGCCGCUAAAGCACAGAGCAUUAGCGGCGCUUUUCCAAAAACGCCGCUAAAGCCUCGAAUGGUCUGAAAACGAUGCCGUUGGGCUUAGGUUUUUUGCGGCGUUUUCUCAAAAAACGCCGCUAAUUCUCAUUUUUAGCGGCGCUUUCCCUAAGGCGCCGCUAAUGCUCUAUCUUUAGCAGCGUUUUACGUAAAGCGCCGCUAAUGCUCGAUUUUUAGCGGCGUUUUGUAUCCAAACGCCACUAAAACUGCCGCUAAAAGCCUGUUUUGGUGUAGUGUAACAUAAAAAAAAUAUUUGGCAUAUGCCACAUAUGUGGCCAAUAAUCUUUCAUAUCACAUUGAUAGCAUCAGUUAUCUUUACCCUUUUAAAAGUUAUCUUGAGAACUCUCAUUGUUCUCUUAUUUAUUAUUAUGUUUCCACUUUUAGUGGUCCAUGAUUGUAUCUUUUAUUUUUUUUAUGUUUGCAUUCACUUCGGAGAAUGCAACAAAUCUAGUAGGACAGACUUCCAAACGCCUCCAUUGAUUCUUUAUUUCAUAAUCACCAUCGCAAACAUACGUAGAUUUCAAAUCAGAAUCUAUCUAUUCAUGUUGUCAUGGUUAGUCUUUAAUUAUAAUAAACAUGAUAUAAUAAAUAAGUCAUAAUAAAAUAUACCUGAAGAUUUUUAACAUCAUUGUCACCACCUUGGUUAUUAUUAGGAGCACUAUUACAAGUACUAAAAUAACUAUACUUUCAUAAGAACAUACCACAUAUAAGUUAUAAAAUCUUAUGAUGCUCUAAUAAAUUAUUUGUACUUUAUAAUUUAAUCUAAAAGUUAUUAUACAAUCAUUCAACUAUAACAAAUUAAUGAGUAAUUUAGAUUCUAUUGAAUUUCCCUUUUUCCCUUUAAUCAAAGGCAAAUUGAUUAGUAAUACUCUCUCUCACAAUUUUAAUCAAAUUUCAAGCAUAUUUAAUGACAAUAAUUUAAUCAUCAAAAAAUUUAAUCAUCCAAAUAUCAUGCAUACUAUAAUUUAAUAAAAUAAUCUUAGUUUAAAAGAAACAUUAAAGUAAUAAUAUUUUUUUUGAUAAAAUAAUUUUACCAAAAAUCAAUCAACAAAGGAAAAAAAUAUACCACUUAAGGAUUAUAAAAAAUUUCUUUGUAUAAAAAGGCAUAAAUUGUUUUUAGAGAUUUAUGUGUACCUCGGUGGUUAAAAGCUUUAAUGAUUACCCAUAGUGUGUAAGCCUCAAUUGAAAUAGCAACAACUCUAGAAGGCAAUCGACAAUAGCAAAUAUUGGGAUAUUUUUGUAACUUUGGAGAAAAACAAUUAAAAGAGAAUCGUGUUGAUAACGUGUUAUAAAAUAAAAGAUAGAGAAUAAAGAACAAAGAGAACGAAAGAGCAAAGAGAGAGUGUAUUUUAUUGAUCAAUCGGGAAUAUUGACAAUUCUUCUCCAAAGUAUUUAUUUAUAGGCAUAAGAAGUAUAAAGAAGUAGAGAUAUACUUCUAAUGACUAUUAGAAUUUAAAGUAUAUCAAAAUAAAAUAUUCAUAACAAAAACUUAAUUAACAAGGUGGAUGGUUUACAACUAGCCUCCACCACCGUUUGACAUUUAGAAAGUGGUCUAAUUACUCAAUUGGUCUUUUAAUUAAUUAAUUGAGGUUUAUUUAAUUAAACCUUAAUUAAUUAGGGCUUAAUAGUAAUUAACCCAAAAGUUAAUGGGAUUUAAUGACAUUCACGACGUCUUGGACUUUUGAAAAUGGUCUAUUCGUCAUUUUGAUCCCUUAGCUAUUUAAAAUCUAUAGCGAUUAAAUUUUAUCACUUUUAUAAUUUAGUCCUUUUUUUCUUAAUUAACUAUCAUAGACAUAGGUUCCUGGGUCUUUCAACUUUGGAGGCAAUUUAUUUGUCAGCAUGUUAGUGCACCCUACGGUGAGUGCGACUGUUUCAAAUUCUCCCAAUUGUCUCACGAUCCAUGCGGCCUUAGACAAUUUGUUCAUCCAAACUCGCUUAAGUCAGCCUUUACUCAAGUGAGGAUUCCUUUAGAAGUCCUCCAAGGCACCAAUUUGUAUAGCGGAAGCGAUUUAUGCCAAAAGAAGCAAUAAAAGAACAACAAAAAGAAGGCACACAAGAUGUUUGAGUAAAUGCUCUCAAUAUUCUCUUAUUCACAAAGAAUAAUGAAAUAAUGAAUGGAGUGAGUACAAAUGAGGGGGAGGCUCUCUAUUUAUAGUUGUGCUCUCCCAAAGUUGACGGUCAAGAUACAUUUACAUUGACGGACGAGGUUAACUAUAUCCCUUGAUUUUAGGGAUUUACAAGAUAUGUCAUAUCAAAUCUAAUCUAAUAUUUACAAGAUAUGAUUCUAUCAAUCUUCUAGAUUAGUUACCAACACAGCCUAAGUUGUCAUAUCUUCAUUAUUGGGCCAACCAGGCUUCAAUCUGACAAGCUUCUCUAACUACUUACCGAAUCGGGUCAGUUCUUGCGGGCCAAAUGAUCCCCAUCUACACAAUACACCUCCAUCAAAUACAUUUGGUAUGAUAGUCACGGGCUUUGAACUGCGGCCCAUGACAUUCUCCCCCACCCAUUCUCGCAACGCCCUCGUUGCGACUUCCUAAUGGUACUGGCUUGAUUUGCCUCAGUCUUGUCUCGAUGGCUUAGCUUUUUCCUUCUUUCGAGACUUUUUCCUCGGUUUACGUCACUUCUUAACUCAAAUAGUCCUACUUGUUGCAUUUACUCUAGUCAACUGUUCAACUUGCAUCACUUCUUUUCCCUUGAAGUCUGAUGCACCACCCACCUCUCCCAUAGGUGGAAGCCUUGUCAAUGACUUGGCCAACUCCGAUGCUUCACUCGAAUUCAGCCUCAUUGGUCCCAGCUUCACUAUUUUCAUCGCAACUUUUUCCCCUAAGUUUGAUGACAAACUCACCACUUCCUUGGGUGGAAGCCUUUCCGAUGACUCACCAAGCUCAGACGUUGUCUUUCCUUUUACUACGGCUUGCUUUGGACAAUUCCGUAGCUUAUGUGAACCACGACACAAGAAGCACUUUACUCGCUUCUUUUUCUCCUCUUUGCCCUUUUGGCUUCGACUUUUCCCUUGCUCGAACCAAGCUUCUUGGGCUCCCUGUCUGCUCCAUCGUCCCUUCAAUGAUAGACUUCUUCGGACACUUCCGCAACCUAUACAGACCAUGACAUAAGAAGCACUCCAUUGGCUUCUUCUCACAUUAGGCCUCAUUGGCUUCGAUACCCCUUGCGCUUAAACCAAGUACCAAGGCCUUACCCACCAGCUUCUCCUUAAACGCGGAUUGCUUCGGACAUUUCUUCAACAUGUGUGGACCAGUGCAGAGAAAACAUUUCAACUUGUCCCUUUUCCUAUUGGGUUUCUUCUUUCCAACUCGUGGUUUCCCAUUACCACUAUUGUCGCCAAUGCCAUUGCCAUCAUUAUCUUCCUUGUGAUCCUUUUCAGAUAUGCCCCUUUCCUCGGACUUGGAAGACCCAAGCUUGUCUUUCCCUAGGCCAAGCUUGACCACAGAUUUCGCUAUCGUCAUGGCUUUUGGCAGCUUUUGGACACCUCUUUCGGCUUUGGGACAUCCUCGUAUCUAAGUGCUGCACUUGACACUCCUUCCCUAAAGGCUACUCGACACAAGGCUAGCUUUACCUCGAGCUCCUCUAUUCAUAUGCUCAAAGCCAUUGUCGUGGCCAUUGUUUCCUUCUUCAAAGCCAUCAUCAUGGCCUCAAGAGCAUAGUUUCUCUCCUAUAACUUAUCCCUGUGUGAAUUAAACAACUCGUUUACCUUAUCUAUGGUGGAAUCAAGAGACAUAUUUACAUAGUCUCUAGAUUGCUUCUUCCAGUUGUUUAUGCGAUCCUCGACCCUAUCAAGUGCCUCCUUUACGUCCUCAAUGGUUCCCACGAGUUUACCCACACGUUCUUCUACUAUCGACAGUGUCUCCCUCAAAGACUUUCUAGCCCACAUUUGUUCGAACUCUUCUUUUGACAUCCCAACGGUGCCUUCGAACCAAUAGCUCGGAUACCACUUGUUACAGGGAUAGAUCUUUCAUCUCGUAAUCCGUGCAGCCUUAGGCAAUCUGUUCAUCCAAACUUGCCUAAGUCAACCUUUACUCAAGUGAGAAUUCCUUUAGAAGUCCUCCAAGGCACCAAUUUGUAUAGCGGAAACGAUUUAUGCCAAAAGAAGCAACAAAAGAAUAAUAGAAAGAACGCACACAAGGUGUUCGAGUAAAUGCUCUCAAUAUUCUCUUAUUCACAAGGAAUAAUGAAACAAUGAAUGGAGUGAGUACAAAUGAGGGGGAGGCUCUCUAUUUAUAGUUGAGCUCCCUUAAAAUCGACAGUCAAGAUAUAUUUACAUCGACGGAUGAGAUUAACUAUAUCCCUUAAUUUUAGGGAUUUAUAAGAUAUGCCAUAUCAAAUCUAAUCUAAUCUUUAUAAGAUAUGAUUCUAUCAAUAUUCUAAAAUUAGUUACCAAAAUAGCCUAAGUUGCUAAAUCUUUCUUAUCAAGCCAACCAGGCUUCAAUCUGACAGGCUUCUCCAAAAGUUUACCGAAUCGGACCAGUUUUUGCGGACCAAAUGAUCCCCAUCUACACAAUAGACCUCUAUCGGAUGCAUUUGGUAUGAUGGUCACGAGCUUUGAACUACGGCCUGUGACACUAGCAUGGUCUCUUAAAGAACAAGAAAACAUCUUGAGUUUUAAGGCAUCUUCAAGGACACCUUACUGUCUGAAAGAAUUGUAGACCUCUAAGAAAAUUCGCAAGUGAAAUCUAGGAUCUUCAGUUAGCACACCACCAAACUGACCAAUUGAUUGAAGCAUUUGAAACAUUAUACGUUUCAGCUCAAAGUAAGGAGCUUGAAUUUGAGGCCUGACUAUUCCAGGAUUUAGGUAAUCUAAAAUAGGAACUACAUGCUCUCAAGUUGGCCUAUCACAAUCGUCAAACAUCUAAGCAACCUAAGGAUUACCAUUGCUAGCUCCCGGAUUAAGUAGCUCAUUCAAACCAGGUUGAUUGUUACCACCUUAAUUUAUUUCUCUUUAUCGUCUUCUCCUUUUUUUAUGGAUCUAAGGGAUAGAGCUCUUCAACAUGAAUGCCUCUAUGCAUACAACUAGUAACAGACCUAUUGUAUAAUGAAAUAAAUAAAUUAACGGCUAAUAUAAAAUUUACAGUAACAAAAACUAAAGUUGCCAAUUGUUAAUCCCUGGCAACGGUGCCAAAAACUUGUCGUGUGUGAAUAUAAUGUGCGAAUUGUGCAAGUAUACAUAUUGAAUCAAGUAAUAAAGUAAUGAGUGAGUAUCAUUCCCACGAGGAUUGAAUUAAUAUUCUUUGUCUAAAUUAUCACAAUUGAGUAGAAAAGAUAAAUGAAUUGAAUGAUAUUUUGAGAAAUAACAAUGCAAUUAAUACGCUAAAAGUGAAAAUAAUAAAAUGUACUAUCGUAGAUUGCAUUUGCAAAAAAUUGAAUAAAAGCACUAAGGAUUCUAGCAAAAUUGGAAUAUUGAUUGUAAAGGCUGGAUUACUAAUGAACUAAUAACCCGGGAAAAAUGCCAUGUAAAAAAUAUGUAACCUACUGCUUGAUUGGGUACUAACGUGGUCUACCUCUGUCGAAAGCAAGACCUAAAGCUGCUCACUUCUAAGACACUAUACAUCUAUAGACUAAGAAUUAGCAACCAUGAAUGAAGCACAAUCUUCUAAAUCAUAUAAGGUAACGCUCUCUUAUAUUACCCAGUUUUGGUCCAAGCAACCAAACUCUGUCGAUAUUAAGCUGCUUUUAGAUUUAUCAAGCAUUUAUCAUUGCUCUAAUAAGCAUAUAAACAUAAAUAAACAUUGGGUAAAGUAGUAAAUUGAAUCAUAUUCAUCCAUAAACAUUCAUUAGAGUUAAAACGUCAUCAAAAGUAAUCCUCAUUUGUGCUAAGUUAGCUCAUGACUGGGCUACGCAAAUUUAAGUAUUUUAAUGUCAUCAACAUCCUAAAAUAACAGUUUAAACUAGCAGAUUUAGAAAAAAUUAUAGAUAGAGAAAUUUGGGUUUAGAACACAAAUCCCACAACUUGGCGUCUAGUGCGCGUCUUCACCCAAGCUCCUAAUAGCUCAAAUUACCCUUAUUGUCAUAAAGAAACUCUAUCAAAGCUCCGUAUUUGCAAUCAGUCGUACCUUUCAAUUUUUUUUCUUGGUAGACCUCUCUCCUUUUUCUUUUAUACUUGGGUCCUCCUCUAAGGUAAAAGCCGUCAGCCAAUGAUUAUUUUUUCCCUAAUUUUGAGGUGGAUAUUUUCCAUUAUACGUGCAUGUGGAGGGCCAACUGCUGAAUGCUCUAAUUGAUGACUGGGUAUUUGUCGUUUUCUUCCUCAGCAUUACCAUGGCAAUCUCUCAUAAUGCCUUGGCAAAUCUCCAUCCUUUGUUAUAUUUCUUCCUCAAACUUGUCACCACAAGGCCUUUCCACCAACAAUUCAAAGUAUAGAUGCACUAAAGCAAUCACCAUUCCAAGUUUUUACAUAUAAUGCUCGAUUCACUAAAAAUAAUCAUGCAAUUACCUAAAAUGAAACUAAUUUUACUUAAGUACAAUCAGUUAACUAAUUCUAAAAGUAUAAAUUAUAAAUCUUUUCAAAAUUUAUUAGUACCCCUUUUCUCCUUUCUUAAUUCAGAAGAAACAAGAUAGGGACUUAUCUCUAGAGCUAAAAGGAUUUGCCUACCGCUCCUCUUCUUCCGAAGGUAUUCACAAGUCCACCGUCGUUGAGCUGACGAGUUCUUUCUCUAUAAUGGUUGCAGAGUGGGAACUUAUUAUUUGGUCCAUCGAACAGGCUUGCAAAGAGUUUGAGGUUUGUCAGGAUGCUUCUGAGAGAACUAUCCUUUUGGGAGAAUAGUCUCUCGCCCAUCUCCACCAAUCCUAUGAUGGCAUUGCUUUACAAAAUCACAAACUUACUCAAUCUGUCUCCCCAUCGACAGCCCAAGAGAAAGAGUUAGAAGAAAAAGUCCAUCAUUUGGAGACCCCAGAGAAACAACACAUUGCCAAAAAAGAGAAAAUACAAAAAGAGAGCAAUGCACUCUGGAAAAAUUUAUGGCAGAUACCAAAAAAGGUACUAAGUUACAUUUGCCAAUUUUAUGGUCUAGCUUAAUAAUACCCUUACAAGAAGCUAUGGGUCCCUUCGGUCUAUGCCACAUGAGCUUCAAAUGUCUGCGGCCUCUUGUCAAGACCAACCUUGGCUUCGGCGUCCUAAAUCCCAAAGAGGUUGUAUGGAGAAAAUUCCAAAAGAAAUGGAGGGAGUCUGGUUAACUCUUCUAUGACCAUGAUUCAAACACAUCUAACUCAGAUUCUUCGGAUGGUACUGCCUCAGAGGAUGGAACCUUCGAUGAGGCCUCCAUCUCUUUCGCCCAAGGGAAAACUAAUGUUGAGAAAGAGGAGAACACAUAGGGAACGACUGAUCCGCCAACUUUGGAUAUUUUUAAAUAUUUUUUUUUGAAUUUAUAAUAGUUUUUCUAUAGUAAUAAGAACUCCCACCUCUCUCUUUCAUUCUAUUUUGCUACAAUACAUUUUUCACCAAUCUGACUAUGAUCCGCCAUUCUUAUAGUUAUUCUCGUCACACUAUCUUAUAUCAAUUUUAGGGGGACUAAGCCAGAGCUAUUGCAACAUGUAUACAGAGGUUAUUUCAAAGUUUACUAUGUUUAAAGGAUCAACUAAAUCGUACUCUGAUACCACUCAAUUUGUAACACCUUAUACCUGACCCGAUCGCAGGGUUCAAGUACCAGAUGUUACACUAACCUGAAGUAAUUAACAAAAUUUCAGUUUCCAAUUUAUUUGCACACUUAAAUGACUCAAAUUCUUGAAAAUCUAGUUGUUAAUACAACUUGUACAAAACUAGUGAUAAAUUCCUAAGACUUUAAUUAAAACAAAUAUUUACAACUUUUGAAUUAAGGCUUGAUAACGUAUAUAAUUAACUUAGACCUUGAGGCAAGCUCUCCACAGGUGCCCCUCUAUAUACAUGGACAGCUACUGGGCACCACUUAACUUUGGCUGGGUCUUGCUUGGUCUCUCUUAAUUCAUCCAAGUCACUAUCUAACCUGUAUUCAAGCAGUAAUUUUAUAAGUACAAAAGAACUUAGUGAGAUCCGCAUAUAGAAUUUAAGAAAAAUUAGAGACUUCUGGCUCAAAAUUAAACUCCUUUAAUUUCGUAGGAGAAUUUCUGAACUUAAUUGUCAAGGCUCAUGCCAUACGAAUUCUAUGUUGUUUAUUAGCGGACUAGUCCUUAGUUUGAUCCUGACCAUGUUCACUCUUGGGAAUCACCCCAUUUCCCAUUUCCUAUUAUUCUAUCUCUCUGAUCCUCGUCUUCAUUAUUCUUGGCUGGCAACACUUAGUGACUAGCCAAGUAAUCGCCAUAACUGCUGUCUUUUCUAGAAUACAAUGUCCUCACUAACCUAGAGUGUUAGUGUCCACAACACCAUGUACUUGCUUUGUCAAUCCAUUCAUUAAAGAGGUUUCAUUAAACAUUCAGAUCCUACCUUUUGUAGAUCACCAAGAUCUUUAUUAUUUUUUUCGUGGUCCUAACAGAUCUCUAUUGUCCACUAUUCUCUAACGAGCUCUACUGGUUUUUUAGCCUUGAGCAAGCAUUUCCUGUCAUGAAAACUCCUAUCUUUCUAUAAAAAUUUCAACUAUUUUUUUACAUAUUGAUUUGUGACUGCAUCUUAAACAGCCUAAUCCAUGUUUGCUUAAACUGUAUGAACUCCACAGCUUCCUUGGCGGACUUGUUUUGACGUACAUUUUGUAUACCUUCUUAUAUAAUGAUUCUCUUCCUAUAUUCUACCUCACUAGUUCAAGACGUUUCCUUGGACCCACUCAUUACUGCUUUUAAUGAACUCUCACAUUGACCCAAGGGUCCAUUCCUUAGACACGCUAAGCUCAUUCAUUGCUAUGACUUACCAUACCCGUCACACUAGGAAUUCUACUUUCACCCUUAGUGUCCCUAAUGAAUUGUGGACUUUCCAAUUGUGCUUCCAAUAUUUAACAUCCUGUCAGGCUGACUCCAUUGGUUUCCGUAGUCGAGUUAUAGUCUUACACUUUUUAACCCUAUAUUUAUUAUCCUGACGAACUCCCUAUACAACCAUAUUCUAGAUAUGGUCUUACACAUUAAACCUCUUCUGUGGUGUCACCCCAUGGGACAUUACCACUGUUGCGAUGUCGCCCUAUAAAGCCUACUAACCACCGUCGUGUUGUUGCUCUAUGGAACUUAAUAUCUAUUGGUGCUCAAACCUUGAUGCUCAAACACCGUAGUGUCCCCUUCAAAAGGUCGGGAGCUUCAAACAUCACAGUUUGCACUCAGUAAUAUUAUAUAGCGAUAUCUAAUAGAAAUUCUCGUCCCCUAAGUCCUAACUUUAUCUGUCCCAUCAAUAAUUUCCCCACCAUGCUUCGCCAUUGAAAACAUAAAAUUCAUGCAUUCCAUACACACACUACACCAAUUAUUCAGACAUUGAAAUGUAACUAUCAAACAAACAACAAUCGUUCCUACCACAUUUGCAUACACUUAUUUAUCACUUUCCAUUCAAAAUCAACGUCCUAAGAACAAUACGUAACAAAAAAAGGUAUUUUGAUCUAGAGAUUAGCACGAUAAACCACCCAAAAGGUAGAGUACAGAAA